This 1515-nucleotide long non-coding RNA is filed under the name Vulpes vulpes (red fox). RNAcentral's name for it is "lncRNA (ENSVVUG00000008191.1)". The record is from RNAcentral. Lineage: Eukaryota; Metazoa; Chordata; Mammalia; Carnivora; Canidae.
CCCGGCUCUCCCACCGCCUGGCUCUCCUACCCCCGGGCUCUCCCACCCCCAUCUCUCCCACUGACGGGCUCUCCCACCGACGGGUUCACUCCUUGCAGGCAGGCGCCGGGUUUCACCUGCUGCCUACCACGGGCCAGCAGCUUCUCGGAGCCCCCGCCCCCUGUCUUUCUGCGGGGACGUAUUUCCUAGGAGAGGUCGCAGCCCCUGAGGCUCUGGCGUACCUGGAGGGGGUCCCUGGGGGCCCUCUGGGAUUUGCUCCUGUGCCCCCCCCAUCCUGGUCAGCUCAGCGGGGGAGGCUGAGCUCUGUGACACCCCCCCCUCCGUCAUCCCUGCGCAGGUGCUGUCAGCCGGGCUUGGGUGGGGGGACUUCCCUGGACGGUCCCUCACCGGCCUGUCUUCCUUCCCGCCACGUAUCAGCAGGGACGUCUCUCCACGCGCCCCUCUCCCCGCGGGCGGCCCCGUCUCUUCUCCCGCGGGCGGCCCCACAAUCUGUGUGCCGUGUGCACGAGGAGGCUGCCUCCCGGAGCCCGGGCACCGGAUGCCACGGCCUGGCCGGCGCUGCUGCAGCUCUGGUGCCCCCUCCCAGCAGGCGCCCGUUACACCCUGAUGCCCCCCAGUACCCUGAGGCCCCCGGCACCCCGAGUCGCCCAUCCCCCUGCACCCGAGGGCUUGCACAGGCGCCCCCCGCCUGGCGCCCUGCUACGGAGGGACGUGUCCGUGAUGCCCCCGCGUGUCCACAGAGCGCACCCCUCUACCUGUGUCCCCGCCCCCCGCAGCCCGGUGUGCGGGAGAGCUCCGGGGCGGCUGCAGUGUCACGUCGGGGGGGGGGGGCNGGGGCCUCGGGGUGUAAGAGGGGGAGCCCCGCACGACCCGGUGCAGGUGUGUCGGAGAGCUCCGGGGCUGCUGCCAGAAGCGCUUCCCGCUCGUGGAGCCGUGUCCUCGUGUCCCGUGGGUUCACAGCGGCGGUCAGAUUUUAUGUAUUUCUCCUGGAGAGACACAGAGAGGCCGAGGGAGAAGCAGGCCCCCUGCAUGGACCCCCACUGGACUGGAUCCGGGACCCGGGGUCACGCCCUGGUCGGCGCAGGAGCAACGCGGGCGGCAGGAGAGUGUGUGCUGGAAGCAGCAGGGGCCGCCAAGGGACAUCCAGGCAGAGCACCAGAGAAGGGCAGGCACACUUGCCGUCGGAAGUGGCCAGAGAUGGGAGUCCUCUCCCUCCCCAGCUCACCAACCAUCACGACGGUCCUUCCAAACCCGACAGACGUGGAAAACUGAAGUGCAGGGAGGUUAAAGACCGCCCAGGAUCACACAGCUUCCGAGUCACCCCGGCUCUGAAGGUCCAGUAACACCUGCCAGAGUGGAAGGGCGCUGGGAAGAGUAACGAGCCCUAAUAACCAGCAGGAAUGGGGAGCAGGGAGCAGCUGCUUUCGCGGAGAUGAGUUUUACUCAUUACUCAGAGUCCCCUAAGGCCUGGCCGUGAAACACCCCUUCCUCCCGAGACACCUGCCGUGGCUCCCA